GAUGAAGAACGUAGUGAAAUGCGAUAAGUAAUGUGAAUUGCAGAAUUCAGUGAAUCAUCGAAUCUUUGAACGCACAUUGCGCCCCCUGGUAUUCCGGGGGGCAUGUCUGUUCGAGCGUCAUUUCACCACUCAAGCCUCGCUUGGUAUUGGGCAACGCGGUCCGCCGCGUGCCUCAAAUCGACCGGCUGGGUCUUCUGUCCCCUAAGCGUUGUGGAAACUAUUCGCUAAAGGGUGUUCGGGAGGCUACGCCGUAAAACAACCCCAUUUCUAAGGUUGACCUCGGAUCAGGUAGGGAUACCCGCUGAACUUAAGCAUAUCAAUAAGCGGAGGA
Molecule: unclassified non-coding RNA, 331 nt
Filed under: soil metagenome
Description: partial contains 5.8S ribosomal RNA, internal transcribed spacer 2, and large subunit ribosomal RNA
Rfam family: 5.8S ribosomal RNA (bases 1-120)
Source: RNAcentral